CUCGAAGCUAUUCUGUGCGCGAUGUUACUGCGGCCGACUCCAGUCACACUUUGCGCCAACACCGCUACCGAGCUCGCGUGAAGCCAGUCCACUUUGAAAAUAGAACCAUCCUGUAUAUUAAUUGAUUCCGUUCAAUUACUCUGUGUGUUAAGGGAAGAUCAUGGCAGCCGAAGCAGGUCCCGCUCAACCAGGGUUGGCCCCACCGGAGGCAGAGACUGGACCCGAUGGAGAGAUCAUUGGAGGACCUCGCACCCCUCAGCAAAUUGCUGCUCAGAGGAGGUUGCAGCAGACUCAAGCUCAGGUCGAUGAGGUGGUGGACAUAAUGAAGACAAAUAUGGACAAGGUGCUUGAUCGAGAUGUGAAGUUAUCGGAACUGGAUGACAGAGCAGAUGCGCUACAGUACGGAGCAUCACAGUUCGAACAGCAAGCGAAGAGCUUGAAGAACAAAUUCUGGCUACAAAAUCUUAAGAUGAUGAUAAUAAUGGGUGUGAUUGGGAUCGUCAUAAUAGGCCUACUAUUUGGUGAUAACAUUAAACAAAUGUUUGGUUAGUUCGGUACCGAAACUCGUCGCCUAUUCCGGGGCCGGCGAUCGUAGCAACUGGUAACAGUACCGUGGCAGCCAACACUGGCCAUUGAAAAUAUAUGUAAUUACAUAAUUCACUCGUCGCAUCCGUUGGGUUCCACUUCAAAUGAGAAGCUGAUUUAUAAUAUAAUAUUUCAUUAUUUAUCUAAAUAUAUACGUAUAAUAAAAUUGUAACAAUUAGACUCUAAACUAUAAUAAAAAGGAACGAAAUAUAACACAAUAUACGGCUGUUUUUUGAAUAAUACAAUUAUUCAAAAUUUUAACAUUAUUUAGAUUGUAAAAAUAAUUAUUCGAAUAUAAUUAUUGAGUUAUUCAAUUAUGAUGCUUAAAGUUGUCAAAUAUAUUGUAAACGUGAGUGAUUAUUAAAUAAUUAUAUAUUAAAAUAAUAAUUUAUCCUUAUACAAGGAUUUAGAUAAACGACUCUUAGUAACAAAAGAUGUUGCUUUUUUCAUAGUUGACAAAAUUAUUAAAAUUAAAAUAUUAAAAUUAAAUGUGGCUGUCUAGAAAAUUUAUUUGCGUGCCUUGUAGAUACUAUCUAUAAUUCUGAUUCUAUGUAUUUCAUAUGUUGUCUAUUUGCUCAUAAUUAUACUAUAUAUUAAUAUUAUAUCUAGUUGUACUUCUGUCAGCUAAAAGCUCACAAAAUUGUAAUCGGAUUCAUCCAAGUGUAGUGGAAUCUUUCUGAUAUUGUAAAAUAGUUCUUAAACACAUAAUAUUUAUCUAUAUUCCUAGUAAUAUACAUUUGGAAUUUUCCUCAUUGAAUUGUAUGACACCAAAUAAAACAGCAAUCGUAGAAAUAGGGGCGGAAUUGAAUUGACACUAGUAAGGCAAAUAAUGAUUAUACAAUUACAUUAUUUUUGCUUAUUUUAUAGUUUAAAUUACAAGUCUUAUGAAUAGAAUUAUUGUAAUAAUAAAAUUAAUGAUUAUAUAAUUAUUUUAAAAGUCCAAUAGUAUUCAUAGCGUCUUAGAAGUCAAUUAUUUGCAAUUAACACUAUGCAAUUUAUAUUUUAGCGGCUUAAAGAAGUCAAUUAAAAUUAAAAUUAUUUAUUAAAAUGCUAUAUUUUAUUAGACAAUGAUUUGUUGGACAGCGAUUACAAUCAAAAUUAUUUACCGCAGGGUCUACAUAUUUUAAACGUAUUUUAGACUGAAGGAGUUUAAAAUUCUGUAAGUGCUUACAGUUUUAGCGUGCCAUGCAUGCAUUCUUAUUUUGGCAGGUUGUUAACGAAAUAAUUAUUUGCAUCCACAAAACAAUGGCCUAUAUUUAAAUACUAAGAGUAUUCGUACACGCAGUCGACUAAGGGAUAUGAUGAAAUGAUGAGGUUGUAUUUUCUCUGUAGGUACAAUGUGAAAUUGUAAGCAAUUACAAACCAAGGUGCCACUGACAAUAUUAGUUCUUUUAUAUAAACGAGUGUGAUAAUUAAAUGAGAAUUUGAAUUAUAUAAAUAUAAUAAUUUGACUAUUCGGUGUUGUGCUAAUCGCUUGUCUUUUCAAUGUAGUUAAUUAUAGUUACUUAACUGCAAGACUUAAGAGGGAAGACAUGAGACAAAAUUCUAUUAUACACACAGUAGAAAAUUAUAUUCUAUCUAUUUCAUAGUGUAUCUCAUAGGAUAUCUUAUAGCAUUCCUUGUAAUGUGGUAUACAAACUCUUCAUGAUAAAACCUCAAUGCCCCAACGGGUUGUGAUGUUGCUCUCUAUUUACGUUGCCAACAUAAAAGAAACAUUAAAUGUUUUGAUUGUUAUAUGUAACGCAAGCAUUGAGCAACCCUAUAUCUUAUUUGCAAAUUAUAUUAUUAUAUUUAUUCCUAUUUCUUGUUAUUAAAAAAUCAACUCAACUGUUGCAUUCUGUUGCAACUAUAAAAUUGUAUCUAUUAAAAUAAAAUAAUUAUUCAAAAAUUUAAAAUAAUAAUUAUUCAAUUAAUAUUUAAUGACACAAUUAUUUAUUUAUUCAAGAAUUGAAUGUUGUAGUGUAUUAAGAUUACGAUUAUUUAUUUAAAUUAUUUUAUUCAAAAUACAUUUUACGAAUUUGGCGUGUUGUAAUAAUUAUAAUUAAAUUCACAGAUUAUACCAUUAUAAAUGUUGUAAUAAUUGAAAAUCUCUAAUGUACAUGGAAUUAUUGAUUAUAUAAAAUGUGAUGAAUAUAUACAGUGAAUCAUAAAUCA
Molecule: RNA transcript, 2739 nt
Organism: Spodoptera frugiperda (fall armyworm)
Lineage: Eukaryota; Metazoa; Arthropoda; Insecta; Lepidoptera; Noctuidae
Gene name: neuronal synaptobrevin
Exons: 7
Source: RefSeq, a predicted model, not a curated record